AUGGACCGAUCCGGGACGUACGAAAAGGGAACGAGGACGAAAGAGGAGGAGGCGCGCGCAGCGGUUAGGUCUCUUUCACUUCACACACCGACACCGGCCGUCGCUUCAUUCCUGAAGGCCUUCCCAGCGACCUGACGCUGACCAUCGCCGGCUGCCACGAUCGGCCGCUUGAGCACUCCGUGUGUUCUCCUUUCGGCACACUCGCCGAUGUGUUUCGAGUGCGCGCGACCAGUUUGCCAGCGUCGUGCCUCCCGCGCGAGGUCUCAGAAACGGUGAAACGAAGGUGCUCCUCGCGUGGAAGGGAUUUUUCGUGGGCAAGAGGGAUCGAUCGAUUUAUCGGCGCGCCGAUAAUUCGCAAGGCCAAGGUCUUCAUGAAGUUCUGGAGUACGUCGGCGCGCUGGGCCGCGCGUUACGAAGGAUUUGCGGACUCGCGGAGCAUGUCGCUCCGAUUUUAAAUACGCCUUAUCUGUCCGGUUGGGUCGUGUGCCGGAUCACAAAAUUCACUGUUUUACAUCCGUACGAUAUUCUGUAAGAAAGCCCAAUGCCUGUGGUGAAUAAAGAAAAACGAUGACAGGAUGUCGAGUGUGGAGGAUAAUUUUACUCGUUGCUAUAUGGGAAACGACUGCGAGCGUAAACACAAACGUCGCACAAAUUUAUUCAAAUAAUGGAGACAAGAAAUCGUUUGAGCCAGACAAAUAUAUUUAUUCCUGGACAGGGCCAAAUGCAUUGGCCAGAUCGGCCUUGGUGGAGAGACAGGAAAGGCUGCAAUAUAAUUGCGAGCUCGAAAGUGGAGGGGUCGAUAUCGCCGAGCUGAAUCCAGAAUCAUUCAGAAAUAUCCUCGUGGAUGAUUUGCAUGAAUUGCUCUAUUGCUAUGUACCAAAGGUGGCUUGCACAAAUUGGAAGCGCGUACUAAUGAUCGCGACCGGGAAAUGGCCCGGUAAUGAUCCCUUAGAAAUACCAGCCGAUCAAGCUCAUUCCCCUGGUACUUUUCAGCGAUUGAGCAAUUACACUUUGCCCGAGAUAGAGAAGAAAUUGGCGACGUAUGAUAAGUUGAUUGUCGUGAGACAUCCUUUGGAAAGGCUUCUGUCGGCCUAUCGAAAUAAAUUAGAGACCAAACAUGAGAAAAGUGCAAGAUAUUUUCAGACUCGCUUUGGCAAAAAAAUAGUUAAGAAAUACAGACCGAAUGCAACCGAGGAGUCUUUAAGGAACGGUGACGACGUAACGUUUCGCGAGUUUGUCAAUUUCGUCACCGACGACACCGAGAAUGGAACUCGGAACGAACAUUGGAGGCCGAUAUAUGAUUUGUGCCAGCCGUGCGUAGUCAAUUACAAUCUCGUAAGCAAGUAUGAGAGUUUGGUCGAGGAUGCUACAGAAAUUCUCGAGAGAAUAGGUGUGACAUCUGUGAAUUUUCCAGGUAGACCACCAAGCAGCGAACCGACAUCGAGAAAAUUGGAUAGAGUGCUGUUCAUAUCGGCCAAAAAAUGCCACAAGCAGCGGGACACGAGACACAGAAUCUUCUGAUGACAUAUUUGAUCCUUAUUCUUUUAUUAAUUUCGCUUUGGGUAUUAUACUCGGGGUUGUUUUUUUAAACACAGCAAACAUUCCUCACCAUGGGCUGAACAACAGAGAAAACACGUGUCGAAAGGCGGAUGCAUUCAGGAGAUCCAAGAUCAUCGUGGACACCUUGUUUGGAGCUCACCAGUUCUCAUUUAUAAUAUUUUUUACAAUCUAAGCGCCUGGAGACAUGUUCAACACAAAUCAUUUUUGACUGUUUAGUGACCGAUUUCCGCGAUGAAAUUUAUUCAAAAAUAUAUUUGCCGGGUAAUAGAAGGAAUUGUAAAAGUUUAUUCCUUUAUAGAUCGUGUCUUGCUUCAGUUUCUUGCUACAUCUUCGUGGAAAUCGGCUAUUGAUAAUUACAUUAAUUAUAUCUCCCUAGAUAAUUAGCUAUGAAUAUAUUAUCUGAAGUUAAACAAUAUUUAUUAUCUUAUAAUACUCUUACAAGAGUAUCGUCAGCUAUAAUUCGCACCGUCAUUGAAUUGUGUUCAUCGAAAUAAAUAUAUCAGUUUGUUUUAUGUGCGUUCGUGUAUAUCGAAUGCGGUCUCGUUUACCUUAUUCGAUUACAAUAUGAAAAACGUAAAUUUUCUUUAAAUUUGUUUAUAACAGAUAUUUCAGAAAUUUGUUUAUUUUAUUUAUUAACAUUUUCAGUACACGACAUUAUUAGAAACGAUUAAAUAUAUUUUCUCGUUCGGAAUGCCGGCUACAAUUUA
Molecule: unclassified non-coding RNA, 2267 nt
Filed under: Pogonomyrmex barbatus (red harvester ant)
Lineage: Eukaryota; Metazoa; Arthropoda; Insecta; Hymenoptera; Formicidae
Description: carbohydrate sulfotransferase 11, transcript variant X1
Source: RNAcentral